GCAGUGUACCCGCGGCAAGACGGAAAGACCCCGUGAACCUUUACUAUAGCUUGACACUGAACAUUGAGCCUUGAUGUGUAGGAUAGGUGGGAGGCUUUGAAGUGUGGACGCCAGUCUGCAUGGAGCCGACCUUGAAAUACCACCCUUUAAUGUUUGAUGUUCUAACGUGGACCCGUGAUCCGGGUUGCGGACAGUGUCUGGUGGGUAGUUUGACUGGGGCGGUCUCCUCCUAAAGAGUAACGGAGGAGCACGAAGGUUGGCUAAUCCUGGUCGGACAUCAGGAGGUUAGUGCAAUGGCAUAAGCCAGCUUGACUGCGAGCGUGACGGCGCGAGCAGGUGCGAAAGCAGGUCAUAGUGAUCCGGUGGUUCUGAAUGGAAGGGCCAUCGCUCAACGGAUAAAAGGUACUCCGGGGAUAACAGGCUGAUACCGCCCAAGAGUUCAUAUCGACGGCGGUGUUUGGCACCUCGAUGUCGGCUCAUCACAUCCUGGGGCUGAAGUAGGUCCCAAGGGUAUGGCUGUUCGCCAUUUAAAGUGGUACGCGAGCUGGGUUUAGAACGUCGUGAGACAGUUCGGUCCCUAUCUGCCGUGGGCGCUGGAGAACUGAGGGGGGCUGCUCCUAGUACGAGAGGACCGGAGUGGACGCAUCACUGGUGUUCGGGUUGUCAUGCCAAUGGCACUGCCCGGUAGCUAAAUGCGGAAGAGAUAAGUGCUGAAAGCAUCUAAGCACGAAACUUGCCCCGA
Molecule: ribosomal RNA, 742 nt
Filed under: Salmonella enterica subsp. enterica serovar Infantis
Lineage: Bacteria; Pseudomonadati; Pseudomonadota; Gammaproteobacteria; Enterobacterales; Enterobacteriaceae
Also listed under: 8 other names
Description: partial 23S ribosomal RNA
Rfam family: Bacterial large subunit ribosomal RNA
Source: RNAcentral